Molecule: ribosomal RNA, 478 nt
Filed under: uncultured bacterium
Lineage: Bacteria
Description: partial 16S ribosomal RNA
Rfam family: Bacterial small subunit ribosomal RNA
Source: RNAcentral
GAGGAAAGCGAGCGGUAGGCCUAACACAUGCAAGCCGAGCGGUAUUUGUUCUUCGGAACAGAGAGAGCGGCGCACGGGUGCGGAACACGUGUGCAACCUGCCUUUAUCUGGGGGAUAGCCUUUCGAAAGGAAGAUUAAUACCCCAUAAUAUAUUGAGUGGCAUCAUUUGAUAUUGAAAACUCCGGUGGAUAGAGAUGGGCACGCGCAAGAUUAGAUAGUUGGUGAGGUAACGGCUCACCAAGUCAAUGAUCUUUAGGGGCCUGAGAGGGUGAUCCCCCACACUGGUACUGAGACACGGACCAGACUCCUACGGGAGGCAGCAGUGAGGAAUAUUGGACAAUGGGUUAGCGCCUGAUCCAGCCAUCCCGCGUGAAGGACGACGGCCCUAUGGGUUGUAAACUUCUUUUGUAUAGGGAUAAACCUACUCUCGUGAGAGUAGCUGAAGGUACUAUACGAAUAAGCACCGGCUAACUCCGUG